AGGACGAACGCUGGCGGCGUGCUUAACACAUGCAAGUCGAACGGUAAGGCCCCUUCGGGGUACACGAGUGGCGAACGGGUGAGUAACACGUGAGCAACCUGCCCUUGACUCUGGAAUAACAGCUGGAAACAGCUGCUAAUACCGGAUAUGACUGACGGCGUCAUCGUCGUUGGUGGAAAGCCCUGGCGGUCAAGGAUGGGCUCGCGGCCUAUCAGCUUGUUGGUGAGGUAACGGCUCACCAAGGCUUCGACGGGUA
Molecule: ribosomal RNA, 256 nt
Filed under: uncultured bacterium
Lineage: Bacteria
Description: partial small subunit ribosomal RNA
Rfam family: Bacterial small subunit ribosomal RNA
Source: RNAcentral